This 1756-nucleotide long non-coding RNA is filed under the name Fukomys damarensis (Damara mole-rat). RNAcentral describes it as "lncRNA (ENSFDAG00000030393.1)". Lineage: Eukaryota; Metazoa; Chordata; Mammalia; Rodentia; Bathyergidae. The record is from RNAcentral.
AUGGGUGACAGAGACCGGCAGCCCAGCGAGGGGAGGAUGCCUCUCCGCCUUGGUGAGCUGAAAAUCAGCGAGGACAGCUGCUCCACUGUCAGACACCCUUCUGCAUAUGCAUCUGGAGAGGGAACUUGGAAUCAUUUGGCUGGUGAAGGAAAGCAGAAGGAGACGCCAACUGUAUACAAAACAGCUGACACAGUGGCCGCCCGUGCAGCACGUCAUUCCCGUCAGCCUACUCCAAAACACAAAGAGCAACCAACAUAGAAACAACAACAAACAGCCAUUCAUCUCUGGGGUUGCACGAUAAAGAACCCAAGAAUGAGCCUGCCCAAGAUCUGGUACGAUAAAGUGUCCAUGCUGUGGAGGAUGCUACUCCAGCCAGGACAUCAAUGACAGGAGCUGGUGCUUCUGUGCAGUAUAGUAAGCACUUGGAGAGAAGUCCAGAAAUCCGAGCAUGGUCAUACCUCGGCAGAUGAUAUUGCCUUCCCUGAGUUCCUCCUGCACGCUUCCCAAACACCAGCCCCAGCCCAGGGUCUGGCUGCAUACCUGUUUUCAACACUCCCUGGUAACAUCUGAAAAAUAUGGACAACAAAGUGAGGUUCCUUUAAAAAAAAUACAUUUUUAAAUGUUUAAAAAUUUUAAAUGCUCUUGAUUUUGUGAAAAGAUGGUUAUAAGUGAUAGUGGUAGAAGUAACAGCAAUAUUUGUUGUGCUAAUGCUUCAAUAAAAUGUGAGCAAUCGUGUUUUCCAUUAAAAAGUAUUCGAUUGUUAAAUCUAAAAUCUGGCAGACUGAGGACAUAGCUCAGAAAUAGUAUGUGCUUAGCAUCCACAAGAGCUUCAGUUCAAUAUCCAGUACUGUACUACUACUAAUAAUAAAGGCCAUAAAAAUCCAGGGACUUCUGAUACAAUGAAUAGAAAUUGUGACUGAAGCCAGCCACACCAACAUAUGUGACGAUAGUCCUGGUUACUCCAGAGGCUGAGACAGGAGGGUCUUGUGAGUAUAAAAGUUUGAUGCCAGCAUAGGCGACACAGUGAGACAGCCUAUCUCAAAAAAGAAAAUAUGAAACUAGCUGAAGUCAGGUAAAUUUAGUUUACAUACCAGAUUUGUCAUUUACUGACUGUAUGACCUUUAAGACUCAGAUUUCUCACUUGCAGAAUACAGGUAGCCACAGCGCCUACCUCAUACAUUUGUCAUGAAUGCUACUGGGACAGUGCAGAAGAUGCUUAGUGUAGAGCACAGUAUAUGGUAACACUCAAGUGUCCACUUCAAAGAAAGAGUUCAAAGAAAGGCCACCUGUCACCUCUGGUCCUCAGGUCGCUCAUCUCUCAGAUGAAACAUUUGUCCUACUACUUACCCUCUAAUUGUGACAGUUCUACAUUCUGCCCCCACGACUUGUCAUGGUGUAUGUGUCCCCUCCAAACUUCAAGUUGAAAUUUAACUGUCUCUGUGACAAAAUGAGGAGGGGGGACAUUAAGUCGCAGGGCUUCAUUGCAGGAGCAGGUUAGUUAUGGCAGGGUGGCUUUCUUAUAAAAAUCAAUUGUUAAAUAAAACUUGAAAAGCUUUCAAAAAAAAAAAAAUCAAUUGUUUGUCCUGCGUGCCAUCAUUAUGUGAUGCAGAAGGAAAGCAUUUUCCGGGUGUCAGCGCCUGAACUCUGUAAUCCACAACUGUAAGAAAUAAAUUUCUGCAUAAAUGACAAAGUCCACAAUAUUUUCUAAUAGCCACAGAAAAUAAACAGACAUGGUUCUAACCCUACUCUGAGGCCA